This 435-nucleotide ribosomal RNA is filed under the name uncultured bacterium. RNAcentral describes it as "partial 16S ribosomal RNA". It matches the Rfam family "Bacterial small subunit ribosomal RNA", at positions 28 to 507 of the family's 1533-position model. The record is from RNAcentral.
GAUGAACGCUGGCGGUAUGCUUAACACAUGCAAGUCGAACGGACUCUUCGGAGUUAGUGGCGGACGGGUGAGUAACGCGUGAGAAUCUGGCUUUGGGUUCGGGACAACCACUGGAAACGGUGGCUAAUACCGGAUGUGCCGAGAGGUAAAAGAGAAAUUGCCUGAAGAUGAGCUCGCGUCUGAUUAGCUAGUUGGUGAGGUAAAGGCUCACCAAGGCAGCGAUCAGUAGCUGGUCUGAGAGGAUGACCAGCCACACUGGGACUGAGACACGGCCCAGACUACUACGGGAGGAAGCAGUGGGGAAUGUUCCGGAAUGGGCGAAAGCCUGACGGAGCAAUACCGCGUGAGGGAAGAAGGCUCUUGGGUUGUAAACCUCUUUUCUUAGGGAAGAACAAAAUGACGGUACCUAAGGAAUCAGCAUCGGCUAACUCCGUG